This is a non-coding RNA of Rathayibacter sp., 73 nucleotides long. NCBI's taxonomy places the organism in Bacteria, Bacillati, Actinomycetota, Actinomycetes, Micrococcales, Microbacteriaceae. The record is from Rfam.
GCCCCCAUAGCCCAACGGCAGAGGCAGACGACUUAAAAUCGUUUCAGUCUGGGUUCGAGUCCCAGUGGGGGCA